This 68-nucleotide transfer RNA is filed under the name Pristimantis cerasinus. Its description in RNAcentral is "tRNA-Ala". The record is from RNAcentral. Lineage: Eukaryota; Metazoa; Chordata; Amphibia; Anura; Strabomantidae.
UAAGACCUGCAGGACAUUAACCCACAUUUUCUGAAUGCAACUCAAAAUUUUUAAUUAAAAUAAAGUCU